Molecule: long non-coding RNA, 147 nt
Organism: Megalops cyprinoides (Indo-Pacific tarpon)
Lineage: Eukaryota; Metazoa; Chordata; Actinopteri; Elopiformes; Megalopidae
Exons: 3
Source: RefSeq, a predicted model, not a curated record
AGAUAAGAAGAAGAAGAAGAAGAAGAAGAAGAAGGAAAAGGAUUCCAGCUCCUCCUCAUCUUCAGAUAGUGAUGAUGACAAAAAGAAAAAGAAGAAGAAGAAGAUGAAGAAGAAGAAGAAGAAGAAAAAGAAGGACUCAAGUUCCUC